GGAUUGUGGCUCAGCGGUAGAGCACUUACCUAGCACAUGUGAGGCCCUGGGUUCGAGCCUCAGCACCA
This 68-nucleotide transfer RNA is filed under the name Marmota monax (woodchuck). Its description in RNAcentral is "tRNA.Ala". The record is from RNAcentral. Lineage: Eukaryota; Metazoa; Chordata; Mammalia; Rodentia; Sciuridae.